RNAcentral lists this long non-coding RNA (991 nucleotides) under Malus domestica (apple). RNAcentral describes it as "long non-coding RNA (MDOM_LNC010352)". Lineage: Eukaryota; Viridiplantae; Streptophyta; Magnoliopsida; Rosales; Rosaceae. The record is from RNAcentral.
GCAAAGAGGGCAACGAGAGCAAAGGGAUUGGACCACGUACCACAACGCAGCCCCUAGCUCAAGCCAACAAGACCAGGGCAACGUGUCCCCUUAACUACCUCGACAAGUGACAUGCUCUUAUUGACGAAUUUGGCUCACCAAUCCUAGAAUAUGAAAAUGGAGAGAGGGAGGGAAUUCUUCCAAACAUAUUCUGGCAUUUUCCCAACUUUUUUUCCUUUCACAUCCGCUCUUUAUUUUCUGCAUUUCUUGGUUUCUGUGCCACCAGAUAGACCAUCCAAUCACUGUAAUAAUGGGGGAAGAUCUUCUGCUGAGAAUAUCAAAGCCUUUGUUAUAAAGCUUCCUAAAAGCACCACUUUGUUGAGGCCGAAUAUCUCCCCUUUUUCUUUUUCCCCAACCACUGUUUUUUUUAGGAAAUUUUAACGAAAAAUUUACGAUACUGUUUACUUUAACAAAAAAUUAUAUUUUUAUACUAAAAAGUUAAUCAUAAUACUAAUAAUUUUACUUUUUUUUCCUAUCUCAUUCACACCCCCAACGAUUUUUCUAGUAAAACAAAUAAUUUUAUGGGAAAAUUUAUCAUUGGGCAAGAAAGUUUUAUAUAAAGUGAAGAACAGGAAGGUGUUGCUUCAGCUGAUGUUCCUUGGUUUUAAAAGUACGUAACCAAGACGAAAUAAAUAAUAGGAAUUAAUUUUCUUAAGCACCGAGUAUGUGUGUACGCUGUACUGUUCUUAAGUCACAAAAUCUAUUCAAGAGUAAAACCCCUCAUGUUUGAGGUCUAUUACAACCUCAUCAACAUCUUUAAAACAUUUCACUUUCAUACCUCACGUACUAUUUUAUUUCAAAACAACACCUCCGUUAGAUUUUCCAUCCAAUGGUCUAUUAAAUGCUGACGUGGCUGUCACAUUUGUGCUUAUGUGGCUGCACAUGGCAACAAAAAUAAAUAAAUUUAUACAUUAACAAUAUUAUAAUAUUAACCCUAAAAAAAAAAAAAAAA